This 497-nucleotide ribosomal RNA is filed under the name uncultured bacterium. RNAcentral describes it as "partial 16S ribosomal RNA". It matches the Rfam family "Bacterial small subunit ribosomal RNA", at positions 28 to 507 of the family's 1533-position model. The record is from RNAcentral.
GAUGAACGCUGGCGGCGUGCCUAAUACAUGCAAGUCGAGCGAACAGACGAGGAGCUUGCUCCUCUGACGUUAGCGGCGGACGGGUGAGUAACACGUGGAUAACCUACCUAUAAGACUGGGAUAACUUCGGGAAACCGGAGCUAAUACCGGAUAACAUGUUGAACCGCAUGGUUCAACAGUGAAAGACGGUCUUGCUGUCACUUAUAGAUGGAUCCGCGCCGCAUUAGCUAGUUGGUAAGGUAACGGCUUACCAAGGCAACGAUGCGUAGCCGACCUGAGAGGGGGGUAGGCCGCACUGGAGCUGAGGCACGGUCCCGACUCCUCCGGGAGGCAGCAGUAGGGAAUCUUCCGGAAUGGGGGAAAGCCGGACGGAGCAACGCCGCGUGAGUGAAGAAGGUCUUCGGAGCGUAAAAAUCUGUUAUUGGGGAAGAACAAAUGUGUAAGUAACUAUGCACGUCUUGACGGUACCUAGUCAGAAAGCCACGGCUAACUACGUG